GCUGUGGGUGGAUCUCUGCAUCCCCCAUGGAUCCCCCUGGGCUGUGGGUGGAUCUCUGCAUCCCCCGUGGAUCCCCCUGGGCUGCAGGGGCUCAGCUGCUUCACCGUGGUCAUCACCAGGCCCUGCAGAGGAAUCUCAGCUCCAGUGCCUGGAGCACCUCCUGCCCCUCCUUCUCCCUGACCUUGGUGUCUCCAUGGUGUUUCCCUCACAUGUUCUCACCUCCUCCUCUUCUCUGUCUAGAAAACACCUGCAUGUGCCCCCAUGUUUUGAUUUUCCCGAAUCUGUCAUCACAGAGGCGUUGCCAGCCUCUCUCAUUGGCCCGGCCUUGGCCAGCAGCCUGUCCAUCUUCAGAGCCCUCAGAGAUUGGCUCUGCUGGACAUGGUGAAAGUUUCCAGCAGCUCCUCACAGGAGCCACCUCUGUGGUGCCACCCCCUACCAACAACCAGGCCAAGCAAAACCAGCACAGACCAUCAAGUCCAACCAUUAGGACAGCACUACCAAGGCCACCACCAAGCCAUGCCCAAGGGCCAAAUCUACACAUGUUUUAAAUCCCUCCAGGAAUGGGGACUCCACCACUGCCCUGGGCUUGACAAUGCUUGCUGUUCAAUGCUUGACAACACUUUAGGCAGAGAAAUAAUCACAAAUAUCCAAUCUAAACCUCCCUGGGCACAACUGGAGGUCAUUUCCUUUCAUCCUGUCACUUGUUACCUGGCAGAAGAGCCCAACUGCCACCUGGCUACGACCUCCACUCAGGCAGUUCUGGAGAGGGAUAAGGUCCCCCUGAGACUCCUUUUCUCCAGGCUGAGCCCCACAGCUGCUUCUCUUUGGACUUGUGCUCCAAACCCUUCCCCAGCUCCGUGGCCCUUCUCUGCCUUGCUCCACUUCCCACACACCCCAGGGGAGGCAGGAAAAAGAUUAAGGUCUGUCCAGGGUAAAUGGCUGCAAGGUGGUGAAAGAAAGUCUUCAAGUGGGUCAGCUUGAGGGUACUGUCCCCAGGGCACAGUAAUCGGUGGGGAUGGGCAGAUCAGUCCCACCAGGAAUCAUUUGACAUUCAUAUUUUGUCAGGCUGGGCUCCAUCUUGUGGGUGUCUGUCUGUCUGUCCAGCCCAUAGACAUCUGUCCUGCUUUCCAUGCCCUGGAGCCUGGAUGUGAAUACUCCCACCACCUUGGCAUAGGCCCCUGCUGGCUGGAGAGGAAGACCACUGUAUUCUGGGCUUGUGACAGAAGUCUGUAAAGGUUUUGUGACCUUUCUUCAUGGUUCAGGAAGGGGAAAGAAAAAAAGUGGAAUUUUUUUUUUAUGCUUUGUUCUUGCUCUGGGGUUCUGCAGCCCUUCAGGCACCUGAGAAAAUGUUUGUUGUGAUGAACUGCUCACUCUGCAUUGCUGUGGUCAGACUGAAGUUGUUUGUGCUGGGUCACUGAUGAAAAAUAGAUAUUUGCAUUUCUGUUCCAGCCUGUGUUCAAAGCACCAGGCGUGAGCGAUGGCACUCAGUGAGUGAUUACCUUUCAUUGCUUGGCCUGUGACUCCUGUCUGUCUGCUGCUUUGAUGCCAGAUCUCCAAAAAGGCCCAGAACUCACCUGGGGAUGGGUUUUUAAAUGUGCAUCAUCUAAUUCAAGUACAAAGCAGAUGAAGUCUUAUAAAUGUGAUCAGUCUCUCGGGUGCUGAAGUUAAAGCACUAUCUCUUUGUAAAUCCCAACACCUGUUAAUCUUCAGUCAGAGCUGCUGGCUGCUGGGUUUUCCCCCAAUUUAUUUAUUUUUAAUAUCUAGCUGCUAGUUUGGCAGCACUUCACUCUUCAAUGCCAGGGGGAAAACCUGUGCAGCCUUGCUGGCAAGAAUGUCUGGGGAGAGCAUUGUGAUUUGUGUGUGUGCACGAGCAGUGACAGAAAUGAAGUGUAAAUAAGGGUUUGGGCUGUGUAAAUCUGUGCUGCUGGAGGUGCUGCUGGGUGGAAAAUCCCUGUGUCCCAGGGGGAGGAGGCAGCAGGAGCCUGGAUGAGGAAGGAAGAAGUGAACACACGACUUUCCCCCUGUCCCAGGUGAGACCUUGGCACUUUGCUCUUGUGGGGUUUGUGCUGCCCCGUGGCUGAGCCCGUGGUGAUCCCACUGCGGGUGCUCCAGGACAUGCUCCCUGGCUGUGCUUGGUGCCCCUGGCAGGGAGGGUUUCAGCAAGGUGGGGUCAGUGAGUUAAGCCUGGAUGGGGCCCCAGAGCGAUGGGCAGCACUGCUGGGACAGUUCUGUAGUCCCCUGAAAUGGACUUUGUUUGCUGGCACUGGGGAAGGUGCUGAAAUUGCCCCAAGGAGCCCGGCAGUAGGAGCCCCUCUCGUCAGGAAAUGCACCUAAACCUCCUUGCAGCUCACACUCAGCAGGCACUGGUGGAAGGGUGGGCUCCUGCCCACGCCCAGCUCCCUCAAUAGCUGUGUCUGGGGAGAAACAGUUUUUAAUCCAGAAGAAAUUUUGCUUAGGGAAGAAAGGAGACCAAUUGCAAAAAGGAGAGGUGAGGUGCUGGGCAGAGGUUUGGCCUCUGCCUCUGAGGGUGGUUUCCAGACAAAAGGCAUAUUUAUAGAACAGUCCAGAAACAGCAGUGUGAUCUAUCUGCAAGACACUUGUUCCCUGCCAAGACAUUUGGAGGGGCUUAGCCAUUUAAAAUAUUUUAAGCACAGAGAAACAUCAGCUGUCAUCAAAGCCUGCAUGGAAGAGCAAGAAGUGUCUGGGAGCAGUGGCAGCAGCAGCUCUGAGCCCUCUGCCCAGAACUGCACACCAGCCAUGCUGUAUUUGCAAGCAAUGAGGUCUCAUAUUAGCAUCUUUAACUUAUUUAUGUUUGCAGUGCAAGUAUCAUGGAGGGAAAAACAGUUAAACUUCUCCUAAUCCCUUUAUUUGUUCCCCCUCCUGCUCAAGCUUGGCUUUCCCAAGGAAGCUGCAGCUCAGCCCUUUCCUACUCCCCUUUCACAGAAGGGGACAGAGGAGGGCAAAUCCCACACCCAGAUGAAAAAAAGAAAUCCAAAGGGAGAUGCUCAGAGGCCUGGAGCUCUCCCCUAUGGAGACACACUGAGAGGGGGGGCUCUUCAGCCUGGAGAAGAGCAGGCUCCACUAUAGCACCUUCUGCCUGGAGAGGGGCUUCUGACAAGAGCCUGCAGAACAAGGGGGAGUGGCCUUACAUUGCCAGAGGGUGGCUCUAGGUGAGGUACUAGGAAGCAAUUCUUCCCUGUGAGGAUGGUGAGGCACUGGAACAGGUUGCCCAGAGAAGCUGUUGCUGCCCCAUCCCUGGAAGCAUUCCAGUUGGAUGGGACCCUGAGGAUCCUGGCCUGAAGGAAGACAUCCCUGCCCAUAGCAGGGGUUUGGAACAGGAUGAUCUUCGAGGUGCCUCCAGCCCAAACCAUGCUGUGAUUUUAUGUUUUGCCUUGAACUAAGAGCCUGCAGGGCCCCAGGGCCCUUCCAGCCACACGCAGCCACCAAGAACAUACACAGGGCUGCUCCCUCUGUGCUUUGGGUCACUUGUAGAUGCUGGUGGAUGCUGGAGAGGAAAGAGGAGCACCAUCUGCUUCCCUCUUGAAUGAAGUCAUGGUUUGGUGGAACUGGAGCCUUGGCAGCACUUAGGUAAAUAAGUCAAAAAGCUGGAAUAGAGGGGCUGGACAAGAAGGCAGCUCUGCUGGAGACAACACCCAGUGUUUGGCCUUUUGGGCCCCUUUGGGUGCUGCUGAGUCCUGGGGGGCCUUUGUGCAGCCCAGAGGGGAGGACCACUCCGUGGUGUCCUAUGGAUCAGUGUAACACAGACACCCGUGGCAAAGGAAAUCAUUGGUUUCAAGAAGCUCAGUCCAGACUGGAAAAUGUGAGUGUUACGAUGAGUUUUGUUCGCUGUUGCAUUGAUUUGUCCCAUACCAGCCCUGCUCUGUGAAGGGGGGUGUGACAGUCCCCACGGGGCCCCUUACAGGGGCAGAUCAGUGCUGCACACCCUUGGGGAGUGACUUAUCUGUGCAAUCCACUGUCUGAAGGACAGCUGGCUUUGCCAGUAUUUCUGGCUGUAUGUUCUUUUCUGAUCAAAAGGGAAAAGGAGCUUCAUCCGCCCUUCCCAGGAGUGGCCAGUGCAAAUUUCAUGUGCUAUAUGUAAUUUGAGGGCUGGCAGUGGAGAUUUGGAAGCUAUUAAAUUACUGUACUUAACCAUGAUUUAAAAGUAACUCUGUUCACUUCCCACAGGUGAGGGUUGGACCUUUUCCUUCCCUCUGGAGCAUGUCUGAGGUUCAGGCAGGUGGAGGAGGGUGCUGCUCCCUGCAGCUGCCAAGAGACAAUGAAAUGAAAUGGAAAUUAGGGUUUCCUCAAUCAGAGUAGGGACUCAGCUUUGCUUUCCUGCAGGAGAGGGGCAAUCUGUUCUUGAGGGGAAGAAAAAGCCACAAAAUCUACUCUGUAGGAUACAGGUGGAAGCAUUGUUUCCCUAUACACAGCAGGACCAAGGCCCUUCUGUUGCCUGUCUUGACUGCUCUUGGCUUAUCCCAUGGAAAAUCCCCAGUGUCUUGCUCAUGUGACCUUGGGCUUCUCUAGGAAAAUACCAAUAAAUGCUGUUGGAAUGAAGCAGCAGCUGAAGCACGGCUCAGUUAAGACAGGUCCUUUCCACUCCUUAAACCAAACAACUCAUAAACCACAGCAAAAGUAAAACCUCUACAUGAGAAAGUUGGGCUUUCUAUAGUCUCUUUUAUUCAUUUGUUCAUGGUUCAUGUGUGAAAUGAAAAUCCCCACAUCACCACCUCCUAUCUGGUGUAACCAGCUUUUCCUUAUGGUAAUGCUUGCUGCUGCUGCUCUGCAAGGAACAGAGAUGCUCUGCCCUGUGUAAAUGUGGUAAAUGCAACCAUCUUUCAGCAGUUUGGUGUUUCAGGGGCUGGAAGUUUUGCUCCAUCACAUUUGUUGUGGUGUUUCACGUGCUCAUAGGAGAGGCAAAUGCCAGAAAUCAGACCCGAGCUAUAAAACUAAUUUUAAAAUGAUGAAUAAGUGAUAAUGAAUAAAUAAUCCUGACCCAAAGCAAGCUGUGCCCAUCUCACCCUGGGCACAUCCCUCUGUUUUGAGCCAGACUAAGCAGGCAUUACUGGGCUGCAUCCCAGGAAAGAGGCCAGCCUGAACCCUCCACGUCUGACCGAGUGGAGUCACUCUUGGCAUUCACAGGGAUGCUCCAGCAAGGCACGUGAUGGGGGAGCACUGAGGCAGGGCUGUGUGAGUGCUAGAGCUUCCAUCUGCCUUGUGAUGAGACCGGGAGAUGGGGUGAGAUGUGAGGUUCCAGUCACAUGUCAGGGUGGUAUUUCAGACCUCACCCUGUUUCCACCUCCAUGCCCCCAGGCUGCUGGAAGUGUCCCAGGCUGUGUGGCCCCGCUCUGCCUGCGGUGGCUGUGACCCCUCCUUCUCCCUUGAGCACCCCUACACAGGGUCAGUCAUGGCCAAGGCUUUAUUUCAGCUCUGACAGGGCUGCUGUACUUGUGCCUCUGUCUGGAAGGCAGAAAUACAGACAGGGAUGUUACCCCAGCUCCUUUCUCCAGCUUUUGGCCUGGGUCAGGCAAGGCCAGGGGUGGGUAUUCAGCCAGAGUCAAGGCUGAGCCAGGGCUCCAUUGUAAAGCCUGUGUCCCCUCAUCUCCUCUUUAUGUCCAGGCUGCUGAGGUUGGAAAUAUUUUCAGUCUAUAAAAUAUUUUGAUGAGUCCAAUCAAUAAAACAUUAUAAAAAGCAGUUUAAAAUGGAGGAGAGAUCCAUUGGCUGUAAAGCACCACUGCUAUGUGCAGGCUCUCCAGACACAGAGCACGAAUUGCUGGUGGUUUUGAAAAUCCACCUUUCCCAUGGGGUGAGGAAGAGGAGCAUCUCCUGGGAACAGGAGCAGCUGCUGGGAUGGGCUCUGGUGGCAGCAGUGAGGCAUCCAGGCUCUCUUCUAAGAACCACAUCCACUGGCAGAACUUCCUGCUCAUGGGUCCAGAACAGAUUGUAUAGAGGCUCAUGGUGCCCAAAGCAUCCCUGUGCUUCAGCACCUUCCUGCUGGGGGUGGCAGGGUGGUGCAGAGCUGUUGCUGGGGGUCAGAGGGGCUGCUCGGACACGAGGGAGAGGUGCUGGGGUGUCAGGGCAGCAGCAGGGAGUGUGCUGCCAGCCGAGUGUCUGAGUGCCAGCAGGGCCAGCCUGGUGCCACUGUGGGUGCUGAGAGCUGCAGGUAACCCAGGGGGUGUUCCAUGGCAAAAGCGUGAAGCUAUUCAGGACCAGGCCAACCUUUCCAUCCUUUUAAUCUGGAGGAAGUGGUAAAAAAACCUUAGAGGCCCAAAGCAGGGAAGAUCAGGGUGCUUUGCAGAGCCUGUGUGAUCACUAAAGCUACAUACAUUGUUUUUAUUUUAACUAAAGCUCAGGAAAUGUAAACUGUGAUGGGUCUGCAAGGAGGAAGCUGUACCACAGAUCGCUUCCUUGGCAAGGGCAAUUAUAGGUAUUUGUGGUUUUUGUGUAGUCUGCAGCUGUCAGUGUGUGACCACUGGGCACUGGCUGUCCCUGUGCCCUGCUCACCAGUGGCAGCAGUGACGUGUGUGGUGCCAAGGAACAGGCACACAAAGGUUCAACCUCCCACCCAAAGGUUAAACCUCACCAUGUCGUCUGCUCUUGGAGGAUGCAGAGAAUUUAAUUCAGCAGCUCAAAGCCAGGUACCACACAAGCCAUGGGGAGAACUGGGUGAGAGGUGCUGGAGGGAGGGAGAUGGGAAGCUGAGGCUGUGGAUUUGCAGAUGCUGGAAUGGCAAAUGAACAGGUUAAACAGAAAACCAAGCAGCUGCUGUGCUGUACCUCAGCCUGGUGCUGGAGGCAUCACAGUGAGCAGCAGCUUGACUGUGGAGCCACUGACUGCACCCUCUGUUGUGUCCUGGGUCAGUCCAGCUCAGGAACUGCUGACUCCAGAGCAGUUCCCACACAUCCCUUGUUGUGUCAACCACUUCUGCUGUGACUGAUUUACUCAGGGACCAAAUUUUGUCCAGCAAACCAUCUGAACUUUGUGAAAGAUUAAUUCUUUCUUCCUUUUGAGGGUGGUGAGGCCCUGGCACAGGUUGCCCAGAGAAGCUGUGGCUGCCCCAUCCCUGGAAGUGUUCCAGUUGGAUGGGACCCUGAGGAUCCUGGCCUGAAGGAAGACAUCCCUGCCCAUAGCAGGGGUUUGGAACAGGAUGAUGUCUGAAGCCUGUGGUUCUAGGGUAAGAACUGAGGCUGAGUUCUCCCACCCCACUUGAGCCCUGGGUAAGAUGUGGGGCAGCUGCUGCCCUUGAGAGACGAACAGGGUUGGGCUGUGGGCUACCAGGAGUGGAGGAGAUGGCUUCUCUGUCUUCCUUUAUCCCCAGGGUCUUGUGCCAGGUGCCCAGUGCUGCUCAGACAGUAGCAGAGAGCCUGCAGAAGGCAGAACUGGAACCAGCCUUUAUUUCUGUGGGAAUCUCUGAAGUCUCUUGGCAGUGGGAAUGCCUUGCCUUGCUCAGCGCUCCCAGUGGAUUAAAGCUCCUGGUGUGAGAUGUGUGUAUUUAUGUUACCCUGGCAGAGCUAACAGUGCUUGGCUCUAUGGGAGCACUGUAAAUCUGAGCCUUUCCCUGUCAUCCACACUCUUGAUUUUAGAGCACUUGGUGGUACCUGGAGUAUUUAACAGCACCUGGCUCUGACUAAUGGUUACAGAAGCAUAUAAGAUAGAAAGAUUAGCAGCUCAGCUGUCUGAUUAAUAUGUAAAUGUACCCAGGUAUGUGUGAGGGCUCCUAAUGAAGUAGCUCACACUUCUGCCUCUGUAUAUCAAAGGUGAUUGAUGGGAAAGUACUUCAGGUGCCUGCUGGAAAGUGUAAAAGUUGUUUUUGUCUACAUCUUGCUUUCAAAAAAUAUCUGUAGACCUAAGGCUGAGAUUUCCUAAGGGAGGAAAACCAACCCAGUCUGAGUUUAAUCUCAACUAAUCCAAAUUGUUGGCCAUGCUCCUGCAGUAUCUGUAAAUUCUCAGAUAGGAAUAAUCCAUCAGGAUCUUGUAUAACAAUCCACACGGUGUCUUAAAUAAACCUUUUGGCUGUAGCCUGCAGCUGACACCUCCUGUAAAUUAUUUGAUGAUACUUUAUAUGAAAGGCUGGAGGCUGAAAUGAAUGUUGUGGAGAAGGCAGGAAGCCCCAGCCCCAUGGAAGAGGUUCCUGUGCUGCUGCUUCCACCUGGCUCACGUCACAUCACAGCCCCGGUCCCUGAGCCUUCUGCUGGGCAACCCUGGGCAGCUGCAUGGAUCAGGGGAACCAAAUGAAAAUCCUGAGGCAUCAAUGGACUUGUGGAAUGCAGGGGUUUCCCUGCUGGACAAGGAACACCAUCUGAGAUCUGAGCCCUGCACCCAGGGCAGGGGCUGUCACUCUCGGGGUGUCCCUGUCACCACGCUGAGCACUCUGUGUCCCUGGUAGGUUCCCUGAGAUCACCGUCCUGAGUCAUGCUGGGCUUUCAAUCCACCCCUACAAACCACUGUGUACAUUUCAAGAUCACUCUGCAAAAUAAAGCCCAUUCUGCUGAAACUGGUGGUGGAGUGGAAAUUUUGCAGUGGUAGUAAAACCUGGGGUGAUGCAGCCAGCAGAGCAGAGCGUGGAGCCUGCUCCAGGAUGGGGCUGUGAAGCGCUCGCUGCUGCGAGAUCUCUCACAGAUAAGGUGUGCUACAGCACCUGGCUGUCAGAGGAGUUCAAAACAUUCAAACCCUGUUACAGCUCUCUUUUGCUGCCUCUUUCUCACUCCUGCAGGUAUUUGGGGGGCUCAGAGCACACAUCCUCUUUCCACCUCCUCUCCAGGCUGUGGGGAACCCCAGCCUGUCCCCCUGGAGUCAGCCCUGGUCCAGCAGCUCUACCUGGAAUGUUUCUCAUGUUGCUCUCCCUUUCUCAGGGUGUCUCGGAGCUGGCUGAGACUGUAAUUGCUUUGUCUAAAAUUUUCCAUGCCUCUAGCCAGGCUUUUUUUUGGUGCUGAUUUUAAAUAGAGAAGGGAUUGGAGCAGUGUGAAGUUUCCUUACAAAAGGUAUUUGCUGAUGUUCUCUCUGUGAGCAGAAAUGUCAUCGCAGGUGGUGAGCAAGGGAAGAGGGAGUGAGUGACAGGGCGGAAAGGCAGCAGGUUGCACUGCCACCAGCAACCACACAAACCAUGGUGACACACUUUCCAUUCCCUGGUUUCAGCUCUGGGGAGGAGCAUUUGGGACACAGCUGCCCUUCAACACUCUUGCAGGAGAGCCCUGCAGAAGGUGUGAGGGCAGCAGGGUGACCCCGACCCAGCCAGGGCAGCCUGUGAGGAUGGCUGCCAGCCCCUGGCCACCCUCUGGGCAUUUCUCCAUAAAUAAACACUACUGCUGGCUCUGAAGGGUUUUUCUUACCAUCACAUUUAUUGGCAAUCAUUCACAUAAUUUUUCCCCUAGCUGCAGCAACCUGGGUGCACACUCUGGCAUUUUCAAGUUUCACUUCUUAUUUCCUUCCAGUUCCUCUGAUGCAGGAGAAUCACCUCCCUGUAAGCACGGGCUCAGAUAAUGGUUUAUUGUAUUCCUGAUGACAAAUUGGUUUAUGAUAAUUAUUAGGCUGAUGUUUGAAGCUUUCAGUGUAAAUCAAUGCAAUUAAAAAGAAAAUAAUACUCCAUAAUUCAUACAGAUAAAGAUAUUUGCUGAUGGCUAAUGUUUCAGAAGAAAGUUUUAUAUGAGAAUUGUUCAGUCCCUGUGACACCAGUGUCCAGCUCAUGAUGCUGAACUGGGACUGUAACUGGGACUGUUCUCUCUGUGUUUCAUGGCUGCCAUGUGUGUGGGUCCCCAGCACUGACCUGAAAUGCUGAGGGGCUGAGAGUUCCCUCCUCUGAUUCCUCAUGACAGCAGAAAGAGUCAGUGACUUCAGCAUCUUGUUCCAGACUUCCAUGAUCCUCCUGCUGUGAGUUCCCUGCUCUGCCUUCUCUUCCCAGCCUUCCAUGAAAGGUCAAGCAUCAAGCCCUGCGGCCUGGAAGUCAGGAGCCAGGCUGUGUUUGCAGGACAGGAACUGCAGCCCAGACAAGCAGGGAGCCAGAGAACAACUGAGAGAUUAUGGAGAAUUAAAGCUGCUUGUUCAGCACUGUAUCUUGAAAGAGCAUGGUGCAGCAUCACCCAACCAUGCUCUGCCUGGGCCAGAGCGACCUGAACCCAGCAGCUCUGCAGAACUGGGGCAGGUUCUUGUGGCUGCUGCAGAGUUUUGUUUCCUGGAGGUGCAGGGGCCCAGCAGGAGCUUUUGAAGACCUGCUCAUUUCCCAGUAAAACAAGCAAGAAUGCUCAUUCCGGAGCCAGGAUUUUUGACAUGUCAACUCUCAUAUCACAGAGUGGUUUUGCAAAAGUGAGAAUUUCAGCUUUCAUUUCAAAAGUCCACAAUUCCUACUCAAACUGUCAGAAACUGCAUGAAGAAAUUUUAAGUCAGGUUUAGGAUUUGAGAGCAAGUCAGAAUUUGCAAAUGGCUGUACAUGGCAAUGUGAAUUGAUAGACAUGGCUCUAAAAUUGCCAUUGGGGUAGGUUUUUUGAAGGCGUGCUGUAGCAACUCUGGAAGAUCUUCAAGCAGAGACCACAAGGAUCUUGGUGUAUUUUCUUGGUGUAGCGUUAAGGGCUGCAUUUUCCCCACCACACUCCACAGUCUGAAUCAAAACCAAAAUGCACGGAGGUCUCUAAUUCAAUCUUCAGAACUUACUAUUAUUUUUUAUUAGAUAGAAAAGUCAAAUCUACAAAUAGUCCCAUACCGUUAUUGGGUCCAUGCAAGCCACAAGGUGUUGGCAAAAAGCAAGAAGGGAAUUCUGCAGGUGCAAAACCCAAUUCAAAAGAUAAACUACCUCCGUGUCAUUGCUUUGCUCAUUUCCCAUCCCUAUGGGCAAAUACGAAUUUUUUCUGAACCUUUAAUCUACAACACUGAAUAAAGUUAUGUAAAUCUGGUGCAAUGAAGAAGGCUUUUAAGCUGUAGUAGGUAUAUCACGGUCCUCUCCCAUUCUGUGAAAUUGCUUUACAGCCAGGCCAUAAUCGCAAUGACAGACAUGCUUGAUUGAGUUUUGUCUCUCUGUUAAUCUAUGGAGUAAUUUUCAGGUGCAAAUGAAGAGCUGUGUGUAUCUGGGAAACUGGGGAUGCACUGAAAAAUAAUCCUUUUAAUACUGAGCAUGGAGAUUCCCUUGUGCUAUUAUAGGAGUGCAUUUUAGGAUUAGAGUAUUUGGAAGCUUCUCGUUAUAACUGUAAUUUAUUUUUAGUGGUUUUUCCCCAUAAAGUAAUAUUCGAUAUUAAAGAGCAUAUAUUUCAGGUGAUAGUGAAAAAGUGAAGAUUUAGGCAAGGUACUGUGAAUGCGAAUACGUGAGAGAUGGUGAAGAUGACUCAUUUCUCUAAUGCACAGGGUGAAAGCUUAACUGAAAGGGUGAACAGAUGAGAGGCAGAGCACAAGUCGUGUUUUAUUGUCAAAUCCUGAGAAAUGUCAUUUCAGACUCUCAGGGGAAUUCUGCUUGGCUCUCCUGUUAUAAGUACAAUUUGUACAUGAAAGAAACUGGUGAUGAGGGGACGGGUGGCCUUUCACAGGAGGAUGAGGAGAGCCACACGUUCCAGGCAGAGUGGACUUGCAAUGACAAUGGUACCAAAUUAGCCAGGAAGGCUGGCUGUGUCCUUUCCUGGUAAGGAUGAGCUGAGGAGAGCUACAUCAAAGUGGGGGAAGGUUAUCUUGAGUCUACAAUAACAGACUUGGUGGCACUCACCAGAUCCCGAAGCGGUGCAUGAGGUUUAAUCCACCUGGUGAAGACUGGAAGGGCUCUUUUUUUUUGCACAAGGGGGUGCACACUGCUGCUGGAACCUUGUGUGGCUGCAAUCAUCCUGUGCAGCCCUGGAGGUGAGAAGGAGAUAAAAGUUUCAGCCACUGUGAAAAGGAGAUAAAAGUUCUUGUUAUCUACAUAGCUCCUCUCAGAUAUCAAGAUGAUUAAGCACACGCAUUUGUAAAAUGUGUCCCAGCACCCCUUAUUAUUGAUGACAGGGAUGACUGGCAGCAAUGAGUCAAAGUGAAAAAUCAAAAGACAAGGUGAGGCAAUGGGGAGAUUGUGACUCCCAGUCACCAACACUGUGCCAUGGUUCUUGCUGAAGAACUGCUUCUCACCCAGAAGGAAGGACCCUGACAACAACCAGGCUGCAGAUGGGGCAAAGAGGUUCUUGUUGCUCCUUGUCUAAUCAUCACCAUAUGAGCUGUCCCCCUCUCCUGAGAAGGCUGUCCCUGGACAGGUGACAGUGUGGAGCAGUGCCAGAGCAGAUGUCAAGAGGCUGAAGCAAGGAGGGAGUCACUGGAGAGGACUUGGUCCUCCUUGCACAGACUCGUUUGAUUUUCCCGUUUCCCUUGGAGAAAGAAGAGGAAGAGUCGGCCAAAUGAAACAAAGAAUACCUUGACAUAUUGACUCAUUUCCAUGCCCAAACCUGUGUCCUCAGGCUCCUGGCUGACUCCUCUUAUCUGCAUCCAAUUAGAUGGUGAAUCUAAUGGGAUGGUGAAUACUGGGAGAUCUGAUCAUAUUUCUGUGAAAAUCAAUGGCAAGCCUUCCCUGGUGCCAGACCAGGCUUCUCUGAGGGAAAUGCUUCCUGUGAACUAGGAAAGUUGGUGGGAGGAAAAAACCCAACUUCUUAAAAAUCCUUUGUGGUGAUCAGCAUUUAAAUUCAGCUGUUCAGGGACUUUUGAUCCAAUGUAAGUGGAAAAUUGUAACCUUUGCUGACGAGCGUGAUCCUGCUCAGCGGGAGGUGGCAGGGUGCCCCGGAUCUCGUGGGCUCGGACCCAGAGGCAGGUUUGUUUUUAGGUCUCAUGUUGACUAAGUUCUCCUCUCUCAUUCAGAAAGGGCAGCGUUACUGUAAGGAGGGAUAUUGAGAUGAUCGUUGCCUUGGGCCCUUCAGAAGAAUUGCCACAUUUUACAUUAAGGGCAGCCUUCCUCACAUAGUACAUCUCUGCAAUUAAUUGUCUUGACACAUGAUUAGCACCUGGGGCAAGGACGGAUCGUUCUGUUGAUUGGGCAGGGAUGCAUUAUUAAUUGUAUAAACUGGCUUAUAGUCAAAGGACACAAACCAGUGGCUGCAGUUGCUGUCACCAUGGAUAUUUGAAAGAGCACUGGAGAUUUGUGUCAGGGCAAUGCUCCUUUGCCAUCCCAAUAUGAUUAAGAUUGUCUCACUGCAACUCCUAAGAAAUUAGUCUUUAAACCUGAUCCCCUGCAACACCAGGUCAGCUGGUAUUUCUGGUACCAUUGUCUCGUUUGUUUUCCCUCAUUGCCCAGACAUGGAAUGUGGCAGACAGAAGAAUGCAGGCAGCUUCUCCCCAGCUGACAGGGAGCAGUGUGGGGUUUUGUACCUAAAAAAGGAACUAGCUGACCUUGACUCAUUCUGAAAUGACGAGACGUCCCUUUUAGAGUUUUAAUACAAUUUUUUCUGCCAAGAAGUCAUUUUGAAAGGAAAUAAAUUCAUGAAGGAUGUUACAAAAUUUAGCAGAAGCAAAUGUCAAAAAACUCAAAAAUAAUAAUAAUGAUCAUAUAGUGUAAUUUCUUCUCUCUGCAUCCCAUGUAGCUGAAGCAAUUUUACAGCUGUUGUUACACUGCGCAGGAUCUCUUCACAGUAUUAAUUGCCAGAUGAGAUAAUACAGUUCAAGCCUUACAUACUUCACUAAAAUAAAUCCUAAAGUUUUUCACUCCUGGUUACACACUGUUCAUACCAAUGAGGAUGCUUUGGAGAGCAGGCCUGGGCUUACAGGAGGCAGCCACAGAUGAGCAGGAAUGAUGGCUCCUUCCACAGGUAAACCUGUACAGGAGAAGCUGCAAGGUGGAGGCCAAAGGAAAGUCCAACGGCCCAAGGUGGGAGGAAUAUGUGAGAUGUGAUGAAGGUGGAGCCAAAUGGUAUUUUUCAGGUUAAUGCUAAUAGCUGUGAGUUGUGCAUUGCAACACCUGCAAGAUCUCUGCUGAAUGAAGCUGUUCCAUGCUCUGCAUUAUAUUAAUGGUCGUCCUCUUUGUUUCCAGCUCUGUGGGCUCUGAGGGGAGCAGUUGAUGCUUGCAGGCUUUCAGUACCUCUCACAUGAGCAGCUCCCAUGCUCAUUUUUAACCUGUCCGGCAUCCCUGGAGGGGGUGGCAGUGCCAGGUCUCUGGUGGUGCCCAGGGUGGGGAGGACACUCCUGCCCUCAGCCUUGGGGUGACCCUCCUGCCCAGGUGCGUGACAAACUGCCUGCCUGUGUGCAGCUUCACACAAUGCUGCCAAAAUUCCUCAUCUUGACAGCAUCACCCUCUGCUCUCAUUACUUUAGAAACAGAAAUUGUCCAUACCAACUUUUUAGAGUGACACCUGAAGGGAAAUGCAUGUUAUGUUACACACUGUUAUUAAGUGCCUCAGGCACCAGCAAUCUUUUUUCCUGCCAGCAUUGAUUCAUUAAGCAGCAUACAGAAGUACAACAGUGACUGGUAUUAGUUUAUAUCUCCCUUGCUAACCAGACUCUAAUUUGUCUUAUUCAUUUUUAUUUCCAGUGUUUUGCAUUGCUGUAAUGAAGAACAAAUAGCACAGGAGAAAAAGCACCUUCAGAGCUGUAGCUUUUUGGCUUGUGCAUUUCUACUGGGCCCAAGUGGUUCACUGAUAGGACUUUUAUAUAUUGCAAAUUCAAAAAGAAAGACUUCUUGGUCUAAAAAUUGUCUUGAUUUAAAUGGGAUCUCAAAUUGAGAAUAAAUUUCUCAAGUUUAAGCACUUUCAAGAGUUGCAGGCAUUGUACCUGGUAUGUACAGAGGUGUCCAGGGCCUUGGAAAGCUUAUGUAGAAGCAUAGGCAGGGAAAAUAGAUAAACUAGAUAAAGAAAACAGCCAAAAAAAGACAUAAUGAGAAAUGUUGAACAUUGUACUCCCUCCCCACAAGAGAAAACUGCUUAGAUGUCACGAGCAGCCCAGUUUGGCUCAGCUGGAGUGAGGUGGGGUGCACAAGGCUCCUGGGCUGCCUUACACAGAGCCUGCAAAUAAAAGCUGCGGUCCCUUGGUUUUCACAGGGCCGUGCAACACUUCGUGUUUACAGUUGAUCACCUUUGUGUUUGUGUCAAACCUCAUGGAAACAGAAUUAAAAAUAAACUAAAGUAAACCACUCGAUGUACAGAGCGAGGCGUGGGACCGCUCAGGGCUUGCGGUGGAGAUGGACUGGCGGCCCCAGUGCACAGGAAGGCUGAACUGCCAAAAUGCUGCCUGGCCCAGGGUGGAUUUUUACAUCUCGCUGGACAUUUUUCUCAGCCAGUUGUGUGGAAUUUCCUAUGUUUCUGCCCUCUUCUCUGUGUUACACCUGUGGUGAUUGUGCAGGAGGAGAAGUGGCAAAAAGCUCAUCCAACCAGGAGCCCCAGUGCCUCAACCCUGUACACCUUCCACAGCAUGAACACUUUCAAAAAUGCCUUUUUUAUUUUAAAGCCACGUCCGGGUUUGUUGCUGGGCUCUGUGGUGCUGCCCCAGGGCUCUCAGUGCCCUGUGCCAAGAGUGGCUGGGUGGUGGCAAUGGCCCCUCUGCCCUCAGGGCUUGGACCCCAUAACAUUUCUUUGCUUGUCCUGUCAGAAAUUACCCCCCACUCUCCUUCUGCUCACAUCCUGAAUUUUUAAGUGUCUUCAGAGAGUAAUGACUUCAGAGCAGCUCCUGAAAAGAAGCCUGAGAUUAACACUGCAACAGCAGUAAAAGUGAUGCACUAACCUCUAAUAAAGUUUAAGUGCCCUGUUAACCAAA
This is a long non-coding RNA of Motacilla alba alba, 15668 nucleotides long. RefSeq lists it as uncharacterized. The record is from RefSeq and is a predicted model, not a curated record. NCBI's taxonomy places the organism in Eukaryota, Metazoa, Chordata, Aves, Passeriformes, Motacillidae. The transcript has 3 exons.